GGGGUGACAACACACACCACAGUGAUAUCCCUAGCAGGGGGGUGACAACACACACCACAGUGAUAUCCCUAGCAGGGGGGGUGACAACACACACCACAGUGAUAUCCCUAGCAGGGGGUGACAACACACACCACAGUGAUAUCCCUAGCAGGGGGGUGACACACACACCACAGUGAUAUCCCUAGCAGGGGGAUAACACACACCACAGUGAUAUCCCUAGCAGGGGGAUGACACACACACCACAGUGAUAUCCCUAGCAGGGGGGUGACAACACACACCACAGUGAUAUCCCUAGCAGGGGGGGAUAACACACACCACAGUGAUAUCCCUAGCAGGGGGGGAUAACACACACCACAGUGAUAUCCCUAGCAGGGGG
Oncorhynchus tshawytscha (Chinook salmon) is the source of this 376-nucleotide long non-coding RNA. Lineage: Eukaryota; Metazoa; Chordata; Actinopteri; Salmoniformes; Salmonidae. The record is from Ensembl.